This 561-nucleotide ribosomal RNA is filed under the name Phomopsis sp. OTU4 TS-2013. RNAcentral's name for it is "eukaryotic LSU rRNA". It matches the Rfam family "Eukaryotic large subunit ribosomal RNA", at positions 62 to 648 of the family's 3401-position model. The record is from RNAcentral. Lineage: Eukaryota; Fungi; Ascomycota; Sordariomycetes; Diaporthales; Diaporthaceae.
AAACCAACAGGGAUUGCCCUAGUAACGGCGAGUGAAGCGGCAACAGCUCAAAUUUGAAAUCUGGCCUCGGCCCGAGUUGUAAUUUGCAGAGGAUGCUUCUGGCGCGGUGCCUUCCGAGUUCCCUGGAACGGGACGCCACAGAGGGUGAGAGCCCCGUAUGGUCGGACACCAAGCCUGUGUGAAGCUCCUUCGACGAGUCGAGUAGUUUGGGAAUGCUGCUCUAAAUGGGAGGUAAAUCUCUUCUAAAGCUAAAUACCGGCCAGAGACCGAUAGCGCACAAGUAGAGUGAUCGAAAGAUGAAAAGCACCUUGAAAAGGGGGUUAAAUAGUACGUGAAAUUGUUGAAAGGGAAGCACUUGUGACCAGACUUGGGCCGGGCGGCUCAUCAGGGGUUCUCCCCUGUGCACUCCGCCCGGCACAGGCCAGCAUCGGUUCCCGUGGGGGGAUAAGACCGCCGGGAACGUAGCACCCUCCGGGGUGUGUUAUAGCCCGGCGGACGAUACCCCCGUGGGGACCGAGGUUCGCGCUCCGCAAGGAUGCUGGCGUAAUGGUCACCAGUGAC